AUACGUAGGGGGCGAGCGUUGUCCGGAAUGAUUGGGCGUAAAGGGCGCGUAGGCGGCGCGGUAAGUCUGGAGUGAAAGUCCUGCUUUCAAGGUGGGAAUUGCUUUGGAGACUGGUUGGCUUGAGUGCGGAAGAGGUAAGUGGAAUUCCCAGUGUAGCGGUGAAAUGCGUAGAGAUUGGGAGGAACACCAGUGGCGAAGGCGACUUACUGGGCCGUAACUGACGCUGAGGCGCGAAAGCGUGGGGAGCGAACAGGAUUAGAUACCCUGGUAGUCCACGCUGUAAACGAUGAAUGCUAGGUGUAGGGGGUAUCGACCCCUCCUGUGCCGGAGUAAACGCAAUAAGCAUUCCGCCUGGGGAGUACGGCCGCAAGGUUGAAACUCAAAUGAAUUGACGGGG
RNAcentral lists this ribosomal RNA (397 nucleotides) under uncultured bacterium. Its description in RNAcentral is "partial 16S ribosomal RNA". It matches the Rfam family "Bacterial small subunit ribosomal RNA", at positions 523 to 918 of the family's 1533-position model. The record is from RNAcentral.